RNAcentral lists this ribosomal RNA (636 nucleotides) under uncultured bacterium. Its description in RNAcentral is "bacterial SSU rRNA". The stretch from base 1 to 534 matches the Rfam family "Bacterial small subunit ribosomal RNA", at positions 338 to 873 of the family's 1533-position model. The record is from RNAcentral.
CCUACGGGAGGCAGCAGUGAGGAAUAUUGGACAAUGGGCGCAAGCCUGAUCCAGCCAUGCCGCGUGCAGGAAGAAGCAUCUAUGGUGUGUAAACUGCUUUUGUACAGGAAGAAACACUCCCUCGUGAGGGAGCUUGACGGUACUGUAAGAAUAAGGACCGGCUAACUCCGUGCCAGCAGCCGCGGUAAUACGGAGGGUCCGAGCGUUAUCCGGAAUCAUUGGGUUUAAAGGGUCCGUAGGCGGUUUAAUAAGUCAGUGGUGAAAUCUGGUCGCUCAACGAUCAAACGGCCAUUGAUACUGUUAGACUUGAAUUAUAAGGAAGUAACUAGAAUAUGUAGUGUAGCGGUGAAAUGCUUAGAUAUUACAUGGAAUACCAAUUGCGAAGGCAGGUUACUACUUAUGGAUUGACGCUGAUGGACGAAAGCGUGGGGAGCGAACAGGAUUAGAUACCCCGGUAGUCCACGCCGUAAACGAUGGAUACUAGCUGUUCGGAGCAAUCUGAGUGNGUAGACGAAGUAGAGUAAGUAUACCACCGUACGGGAGGUACGUUACGUCGAAGAAGUAGAAACGUACGAAAGUAGUAAGUUAGUACGGACGUAGAGACGUAGACCGACGGACGACGACGAGGGGAGGAGG